Bos taurus (domestic cattle) is the source of this 373-nucleotide long non-coding RNA. NCBI's taxonomy places the organism in Eukaryota, Metazoa, Chordata, Mammalia, Artiodactyla, Bovidae. The record is from Ensembl.
AGGAACUACACGGGGCUAAGUUCAGAGAACCGAAUGGCACAUAUCUGUGUACUUGGUGCUCCGGUGGAGGCUGGAGGACCACAGUUCAAGGAUGUGAAAGGUGGGAUACCCAAAGAAGCUCCAAAUACCACCUGCCGACACAAAGAGGAGGGGGAGGAGCGCUGCCUGUCUGUCCUCCUCCCUAACCCACCUCCCAGGGCAGCCGGGCCCAGCCAGCAGGAUCUACGGCCUUGGGAUGAUUUACAGUCAGAGACCUCAGAAGGCUGGCCCCCAGCUAAGGCCAUAAAAUUGGUUUCCAGUGCUGUUUGAUAGUUUAUGGUGAAGGGUAGAUGCUGCUUCCUGACCUGGGGCUUGUCCCUUCAUUACAGAGCGC